Molecule: ribosomal RNA, 460 nt
Filed under: Ototyphlonemertes fila
Lineage: Eukaryota; Metazoa; Nemertea; Enopla; Monostilifera; Ototyphlonemertidae
Description: partial large subunit ribosomal RNA
Rfam family: Bacterial large subunit ribosomal RNA
Source: RNAcentral
UGCUUUUAGAGGUUUUAGUUAAAAGUUUGUUCUGCUCGGUGAUUUUAAACAGCCGCGGUAAUUUGACCGUGCAAAGGUAGCAUAAUCAUUUGCCUUAUAAUUGGGGGCUGGAAUGAAGGAAUAAACAAGAGUAAAUCUUUAUUUUUUAGAGAUUAAUAAUUUUCUUUCUUAGUGAAGAAGCUAAGAUUAAAAAAGGGGACAAGAAGACCCUUUUGAGCUUUACUAACUUUUUUCUUCUUGAUGUAAAGUUAGUUUGGUUGGGGCGACCAAGGAGUUAGAUCUUCCUAUUUUAAUUUUGAUCCACAGUUUGUGAUUAAAAGAGUAAGUUACCAAAGGGAUAACAGCGUAAUUUUUUUUAAGAGUUCUUAUUAAAAAAAAAGAUUGCGACCUCGAUGUUGACUUAUGUUUUCCUGUUGGUGUAGCAGCUGAUACGGUGGGUCUGUUCGACCUUUAAAAGCUU